AGUGAACGCUGGCGGUAGGCCUAACACAUGCAAGUCGAACGGCAGCACAGUAAGAGCUUGCUCUUACGGGUGGCGAGUGGCGGACGGGUGAGGAAUACAUCGGAAUCUACUUUUUCGUGGGGGAUAACGUAGGGAAACUUACGCUAAUACCGCAUACGAACUACGGGUGAAAGCAGGGGAUCUUCGGACCUUGCGCGAUUGAAUGAGCCGAUGUCGGAUUAGCUAGUUGGCGGGGUAAAGGCCCACCAAGGCGACGAUCCGUAGCUGGUCUGAGAGGAUGAUCAGCCACACUGGAACUGAGACACGGUCCAGACUCCUACGGGAGGCAGCAGUGGGGAAUAUUGGACAAUGGGCGCAAGCCUGAUCCAGCCAUACCGCGUGGGUGAAGAAGGCCUUCGGGUUGUAAAGCCCUUUUGUUGGGAAAGAAAAGCAGCAGGUUAAUACCCCGCUGUUCUGACGGUACCCAAGGAAUAAGCACCGGCUAACUUCGUG
RNAcentral lists this ribosomal RNA (492 nucleotides) under uncultured bacterium. Its description in RNAcentral is "partial 16S ribosomal RNA". It matches the Rfam family "Bacterial small subunit ribosomal RNA", at positions 29 to 507 of the family's 1533-position model. The record is from RNAcentral.